Molecule: long non-coding RNA, 1130 nt
Filed under: Medicago truncatula (barrel medic)
Lineage: Eukaryota; Viridiplantae; Streptophyta; Magnoliopsida; Fabales; Fabaceae
Description: long non-coding RNA (MTRU_LNC006391)
Source: RNAcentral
AACAAUUAGCAUGCAAUUUUAUGAUAAAUGUGAUGUUGAUUUUAUGAUUGUGCUACUGUUUUGGUAUGAUUUGUGUGUUUCUUGUAUCUCAAGCAACUUUUCUUCUCAAUAUGUCUUGGUUAUUUUCAUCAUUUCUUUACCAUUUCAUUUCAUAUUCAAUUGAUUACUUUCUCUAUCACUCAUGUUAUAUUUUUCAUCUUGUUUUGCUAACAUUGUUGACUCAUGUUUCACUCAUCUCAUAGCAUCUCACCACAUCAUUCUCAUUUCUACUAGAUUAGGUUUUAUUUCUUGCAAUUUUCCUUUUUUGUAUUUCCAAUGGUUAUGUAAUAUUUUAGGCUAGUUUAAAUUCACCUUUUAAAUCCUUGCAAGACCAUAGCAUGUAUUUAGGACUCGAUGUAAAGGACUAUGGACACUAUAACUGAUGUACACCGACACGAGCACCGACGCAUGCACACACCCCACAUGGAUAUUCUAGAUGCAUGAUUAGGGAAUGUAUGUUUAGAUGUAUGCUUAGGUUUUACAACGCUUAGACAAAAAUCAUUUUCCCAAAAAAAAAUGUGAAUAACCUCACUUGAAAACCUUUUUUUCCUAAAAUAGGAGUCAAAACUCCUCAUUUUCCUUUUAUUUUCUUAAGUAAGAAAUCUUAAUGAAUUUUAAUCAUACUUAGACUUUAUUUUGCAAAAAUAGCUAAUUCCACCUCACAUUUUCCAAAUCUCAUGCCCUUGAGGCCUCUCAUCUCCAUUCUUCAAAAUUCCUUUUUCAAACUUAAAAUCAACCAACAAAAACAAAAACAAUUUUCGAGAACGAACUACGUUUGGUUUUGAUCCCUUAAAAGGGUACGUAGGCAAUGAGUUAAAACUCCUCCAAGCCAAGUAAAAUAAAAUCUCAAUCAUCUUCUCUCCCCCAUUCUUCACUCAAAUAAAACUUCUUUUUCAAUAAGUAGGCAAUAAAAAUAAAGCAUAGGAAUAAACUUAGGAGAACGGUUCUUAUGGAAUACCAUAAUCGUUCCGGGUGCCUAACACCUUCCCGUAGCGAAAACGACCCCCGAACUUAGACUCUAAGGGUUUUUCUCAAUUUUGCCCUUCCCAAGAAAAAAUAGAGAAUAUCAAAGAUUGAAAGGUUCAAGCCUU